Molecule: ribosomal RNA, 479 nt
Filed under: uncultured bacterium
Lineage: Bacteria
Description: partial 16S ribosomal RNA
Rfam family: Bacterial small subunit ribosomal RNA
Source: RNAcentral
GAUGAACGCUAGCGGGAGGCCUAACACAUGCAAGCCGAGCGGUAUUGUUUCUUCGGAAAUGAGAGAGCGGCGUACGGGUGCGUAACACGUGUGCAACCUGCCUUUAUCUGGGGGAUAGCCUUUCGAAAGGAAGAUUAAUACUCCAUAAUAUAUUGAACGGCAUCGUUUAAUAUUGAAAGCUCCGGCGGAUAGAGAUGGGCACGCGCAAGAUUAGCUAGUUGGUGAGGUAACGGCUCACCAAGGCGAUGAUCUUUAGGGGGCCUGAGAGGGUGAUCCCCCACACUGGUACUGAGACACGGACCAGACUCCUACGGGAGGCAGCAGUGAGGAAUAUUGGUCAAUGGGUGCAAGCCUGAACCAGCCAUCCCGCGUGAAGGACGACUGCCCUAUGGGUUGUAAACUUCUUUUGUAUAGGGACAAACCUACCCUCGUGAGGGUAGCUGAAGGUACUAUACGAAUAAGCACCGGCUAACUCCGUG